Molecule: ribosomal RNA, 857 nt
Filed under: Aquapteridospora bambusinum
Lineage: Eukaryota; Fungi; Ascomycota; Sordariomycetes
Description: SSU rRNA
Rfam family: Eukaryotic small subunit ribosomal RNA
Source: RNAcentral
CGUGGUAAUUCUAGAGCUAAUACAUGCUAAAAAUCCCGACUUCGGAAGGGAUGUAUUUAUUAGAUUAAAAACCAACGCCCCUCGGGGCUCACUGGUGAUUCAUGAUAACUUCUCGAAUCGCACGGCCUUGCGCCGGCGAUGGUUCAUUCAAAUUUCUGCCCUAUCAACUUUCGACGGCUGGGUCUUGGCCAGCCGUGGUGACAACGGGUAACGGAGGGUUAGGGCUCGACCCCGGAGAAGGAGCCUGAGAGACGGCUACUACAUCCAAGGAAGGCAGCAGGCGCGCAAAUUGUCCAAUGCCGACUCGGCGAGACAGUGACGAUACAUACCGAUACAGGGCUCUUUUGGGUCUUGUAAUUGGAAUGAGUACAAUUUAAACCCCUUAACGAGGAACAAUUGGAGGGCAAGUCUGGUGCCAGCAGCCGCGGUAAUUCCAGCUCCAAUAGCGUAUAUUAAAGUUGUUGCAGUUAAAAAGCUCGUAGUUGAACCUCGGGCCUGGCUGGCCGGUCCGCCUCACCGCGUGCACUGGUCCGGCCGGGCUCUUCCCUCUGGGGAACCCCAUGUCCUUCACUGGGCGUGUGGGGAAACCAGGACUUUUACUUUGAAAAAAUUAGAGUGUUCAAAGCAGGCGCAUGCUCGAAUACAUUAGCAUGGAAUAAUAGAAUAGGACGUCGCGGUUCUAUUUUGUUGGUUUCUAGGACCGCCGUAAUGAUUAACAGGGACAGUCGGGGGCAUCAGUAUUCAACUGUCAGAGGUGAAAUUCUUGGAUCUGUUGAAGACUAACUACUGCGAAAGCAUUUGCCAAGGAUGUUUUCAUUAAUCAGGAACGAAAGUUAGGGGAUCGAAGACGAUCAGAU